Molecule: long non-coding RNA, 245 nt
Filed under: Carica papaya (papaya)
Lineage: Eukaryota; Viridiplantae; Streptophyta; Magnoliopsida; Brassicales; Caricaceae
Description: long non-coding RNA (CPAP_LNC012205)
Source: RNAcentral
UAACGUUCCCUUUCCAACUACCAAAUUUACAGCAGCUAUACCAACCUAUAUACAACCCAUACUCUCACACCACACAGCUACACCACUCAUCCCCUCGCCCUACACAGAGACACCCCCACACCUCUAUUCUGACACUUCAUUCCCACGGUCUACGGCCUCUCUUUCCUCCUCCCAAAUUUUUUACAUCCACACACACUACUUCCUCCCUUAUACAUAUCCACCUCACUCACCAAAUCCCUUCUUCU